AACGUAGGACACGAGCGUUAUCCGGAGUUACUGGGCGUAAAGGGUGGGCAGGCGGCCGUGUCAGAUGGGUGUGAAAUCUCCCGGCUCAACCGGGAGGGGCCACUCGUGACUGCACGGCUGGAGGGCAGCAGAGGCGCGUGGAAUUCCGGGUGGAGUGGUGAAAUGCGUAGAGAUCCGGAGGAACACCAGAGGCGAAGGCGGCGCGCUGGGCUGCACCUGACGCUGAACCACGAAAGCCAGGGUAGCGAACGGG
RNAcentral lists this ribosomal RNA (253 nucleotides) under uncultured bacterium. Its description in RNAcentral is "partial 16S ribosomal RNA". It matches the Rfam family "Bacterial small subunit ribosomal RNA", at positions 524 to 776 of the family's 1533-position model. The record is from RNAcentral.